UCAGGAUGAACGCUGGCGGCGUGCUUAACACAUGCAAGUCGAGCGGAGGUUGUACUUCGGUACAACCUUAGCGGCGGACGGGUGAGUAACGCGUGGGUGACCUGCCUUAUACAGGGGGAUAACAGUGAGAAAUCACUGCUAAUACCGCAUAAGACCACAGUGCUGCAUGGCACAGAGGUAAAAGGAGCAAUCCAGUAUAAGAUGGACCCGCGUCUGAUUAGCUAGUUGGAGAGGUAACGGCUCACCAAGGCGACGAUCAGUAGCCGACCUGAGAGGGUGAUCGGCCACAUUGGGACUGAGACACGGCCCAAACUCCUACGGGAGGCAGCAGUGGGGAAUAUUGCACAAUGGGGGAAACCCUGAUGCAGCAACGCCGCGUGAAGGAAGACGGUUUUCGGAUUGUAAACUUCUAUCGACGGGGAAGAAAAAAAUGACAGUACCCGAGUAAGAAGCCCCGGCUAACUACGUGCCAGCAGCCGCGGUAAUACGUAGGGGGCAAGCGUUAUCCGGAAUCACUGGGUGUAAAGGGUGCGUAGGCGGUUAUGUAAGUCAGAUGUGAAAUACCGAAGCUCAACUUCGGGGCUGCAUUUGAAACUGUGUGACUAGAGUACAGGAGAGGUAAGUGGAAUUCCUAGUGUAGCGGUGAAAUGCGUAGAUAUUAGGAAGAACACCAGUGGCGAAGGCGACUUACUGGACUGAAACUGACGCUGAGGCACGAAAGCGUGGGGAGCAAACAGGAUUAGAUACCCUGGUAGUCCACGCUGUAAACGAUGAAUGCUAGGUGUUGGCGCGAGAGCGUCGGUGCCGCAGUUAACACAAUAAGCAUUCCACCUGGGGAGUACGAUCGCAAGAUUGAAACUCAAAGGAAUUGACGGGGGCCCGCACAAGCGGUGGAGUAUGUGGUUUAAUUCGAAGCAACGCGAAGAACCUUACCAAGACUUGACAUCCCUUUGAAUAAGCAUGUAAUGUGCUUAGCCCUUCGGGACAAAGGUGACAGGUGGUGCAUGGUUGUCGUCAGCUCGUGUCGUGAGAUGUUGGGUUAAGUCCCGCAACGAGCGCAACCCUUAUCCUAAGUAGCUAGCAGUUCAGCUGAGCACUCUGAGGAGACUGCCGGGGAUAACUCGGAGGAAGGUGGGGAUGACGUCAAAUCAUCAUGCCCCUUAUGUUUUGGGCUACACACGUACUACAAUGGCUGCUACAGACAGAAGCGAAACCGCGAGGUGAAGCAAAGCUGAAAAAGGCAGUCCCAGUUCGGAUUGUAGGCUGCAACUCGCCUACAUGAAGUUGGAAUCGCUAGUAAUCGCGAAUCAGCAUGUCGCGGUGAAUACGUUCCCGGGCCUUGUACACACCGCCCGUCACACCAUGGGAGUUAGAAGCACCCGAAGCCUGUGACUAAACCGUAAGGAUAGAGCAGUCGAAGGUGAAGCUAGUGACUGGGGUGAAGUCGUAACAAG
RNAcentral lists this ribosomal RNA (1454 nucleotides) under Clostridiaceae bacterium SH032. RNAcentral describes it as "16S ribosomal RNA". It matches the Rfam family "Bacterial small subunit ribosomal RNA". Lineage: Bacteria; Bacillati; Bacillota; Clostridia; Eubacteriales; Clostridiaceae. The record is from RNAcentral.